Molecule: ribosomal RNA, 467 nt
Filed under: uncultured bacterium
Lineage: Bacteria
Description: partial 16S ribosomal RNA
Rfam family: Bacterial small subunit ribosomal RNA
Source: RNAcentral
ACGCACGCUGGCGGCGUGCUUCACCCCUGCCAGUCGAACGGAAAGGCCCUGCUUUUGUGGGGUGCUCGAGUGGCGAACGGGUGAGUAACACGUGAGUAACCUGCCCUUGACUUUGGGAUAACUUCAGGAAACUGGGGCUAAUACCGGAUAGGAGCUCCUGCUGCAUGGUGGGGGUUGGAAGGUUUCGGCGGUUGGGGAUGGACUCGCGGCUUAUCAGCUUGUUGGUGGGGUAGUGGCUUACCAAGGCUUUGACGGGUAGCCGGCCUGAGAGGGUGACCGGCCACAUUGGGACUGAGAUACGGCCCAGACUCCUACGGGAGGCAGCAGUGGGGAAUAUUGCACAAUGGGCGGAAGCCUGAUGCAGCAACGCCGCGUGCGGGAUGACGGCCUUCGGGUUGUAAACCGCUUUCGCCUGUGACGAAGCGUGAGUGACGGUAAUGGGUAAAGAAGCACCGGCUAACUACGUG